RNAcentral lists this ribosomal RNA (441 nucleotides) under uncultured bacterium. RNAcentral's name for it is "partial 16S ribosomal RNA". It matches the Rfam family "Bacterial small subunit ribosomal RNA", at positions 338 to 795 of the family's 1533-position model. The record is from RNAcentral.
CCUACGGGUGGCAGCAGUGGGGAAUAUUGGGCAAUGGACGCAAGUCUGACCCAGCAACGCCGCGUGAAGGAAGAAGGCUUUCGGGUUGUAAACUUCUUUUAAGGGGGAAGAGCAGAAGACGGUACCCCUUGAAUAAGCCACGGCUAACUACGUGCCAGAAGCCGCGGUAAUACGUAGGUGGCAAGCGUUGUCCGGAUUUACUGGGUGUCAAGGGUGCGCAGGCGGGCCUUUAAGCCGGCGGUGAACUCGCGGGGCUCAACCCCGCCGAGCCGUCGGAACUGGGGGCCUUGAGUGCGGCGGAGGCAUGCGGAAUGCGCGGUGUAGCGGUGAAAUGCAUAGAUAUCGCGCAGAACCCCGAUUGCGAAGGCAGCGUGCCGUGCCGCCACUGACGCUGAGGCACGAAAGCGCGGGGAUCGAACAGGAUUAGAUACCCUAGUAGUC